Molecule: ribosomal RNA, 253 nt
Filed under: uncultured bacterium
Lineage: Bacteria
Description: partial 16S ribosomal RNA
Rfam family: Bacterial small subunit ribosomal RNA
Source: RNAcentral
UACGAAGGGAGCUAGCGUUGUUCGGAAUUACUGGGCGUAAAGAGCGUGUAGGCGGCUUAGAAAGUUAAAAGUGAAAUCCCAGGGCUUAACCCUGGAACAGCUUUUAAAACUCCUAAGCUAGAGAUCGAUAGAGGAUGGUGGAAUUCCUAGUGUAGAGGUGAAAUUCUUAGAUAUUAGGAGGAAUAUCAAUGGCGAAGGCAGCCAUCUGGGUCAGAUCUGACGCUGAGACGCGAAAGCGUGGGGAGCAAACAGG